UCCCUACGGGGGGCAGCAGGCGCGAAAACUUUACAAUGCGGGAAACCGUGAUAAGGGGACCCCGAGUGCCAGCAUCAUAUGCUGGCUGUCCGGAUGUGUAAAAUACAUCCGUUAGCAAGGGCCGGGCAAGACCGGUGCCAGCCGCCGCGGUAACACCGGCGGCCCGAGUGGUGAUCGUGAUUAUUGGGUCUAAAGGGUCCGUAGCCGGUUUGGUCAGUCCUCCGGGAAAUCUGAUAGCUUAACUAUUAGGCUUUCGGGGGAUACUGCCAGACUUGGAACCGGGAGAGGUAAAAGGUACUACAGGGGUAGGAGUGAAUCCUUGUA
Molecule: ribosomal RNA, 324 nt
Filed under: uncultured methanogenic archaeon
Lineage: Archaea; Methanobacteriati; Methanobacteriota
Description: bacterial SSU rRNA
Rfam family: Archaeal small subunit ribosomal RNA
Source: RNAcentral